CGGUGGGCGCUAGGUGUGGGGGACUUCCACGUUCUCUGUGCCGCAGCUAACGCAUUAAGCGCCCCGCCUGGGGAGUACGGCCGCAAGGCUAAAACUCAAAGGAAUUGACGGGGGCCCGCACAAGCGGCGGAGCAUGCUGAUUAAUUCGAUGCAACGCGAAGAACCUUACCAAGGCUUGACAUACACCGGAAACUUCCAGAAAUGGUUGCCCCGCAAGGUCGGUGUACAGGUGGUGCAUGGCUGUCGUCAG
Molecule: ribosomal RNA, 250 nt
Filed under: uncultured bacterium
Lineage: Bacteria
Description: partial 16S ribosomal RNA
Rfam family: Bacterial small subunit ribosomal RNA
Source: RNAcentral